GGUGAGGUGCGAGAGCGGCUGAAUCGGCGGCACUGGAAAUGCCGUAUGCCCGCAAGGGUAUCGAGGGUUCGAAUCCCUCCCUCACCGCAA
This 90-nucleotide transfer RNA is filed under the name Candidatus Curtissbacteria bacterium RBG_16_39_7. RNAcentral's name for it is "tRNA-Ser". It matches the Rfam family "tRNA". Rfam says of the family: Transfer RNA (tRNA) molecules are approximately 80 nucleotides in length. Their secondary structure includes four short double-helical elements and three loops (D, anti-codon, and T loops). Further hydrogen bonds mediate the characteristic L-shaped molecular structure. tRNAs have two regions of fundamental functional importance: the anti-codon, which is responsible for specific mRNA codon recognition, and the 3' end, to which the tRNAs corresponding amino acid is attached (by aminoacyl-tRNA synthetases). tRNAs cope with the degeneracy of the genetic code in two manners: having more than one tRNA (with a specific anti-codon) for a particular amino acid; and 'wobble' base-pairing, i.e. permitting non-standard base-pairing at the 3rd anti-codon position. The record is from RNAcentral. Lineage: Bacteria; Candidatus Curtissiibacteriota.